RNAcentral lists this ribosomal RNA (253 nucleotides) under uncultured bacterium. Its description in RNAcentral is "partial 16S ribosomal RNA". It matches the Rfam family "Bacterial small subunit ribosomal RNA", at positions 524 to 776 of the family's 1533-position model. The record is from RNAcentral.
UACGGAGGGUGCAAGCGUUGUCCGGAUUUAUUGGGUUUAAAGGGUGCGUAGGCGGCCCGUUAAGUCAGUGGUGAAAGCCUCCAGCUCAACUGGAGAACUGCCAUUGAUACUGGCGGGCUUGAGUACAGACGAGGUUGGCGGAAUUGAUUGUGUAGCGGUGAAAUGCAUAGUUACAAUCAAGAACACCGAUUGCGUAGGCAGCUAACUAGGCUGUAACUGACGCUGAGGCACGAAAGCGUGGGGAGCGAACAGG